RNAcentral lists this ribosomal RNA (373 nucleotides) under uncultured bacterium. RNAcentral describes it as "partial 16S ribosomal RNA". It matches the Rfam family "Bacterial small subunit ribosomal RNA", at positions 338 to 708 of the family's 1533-position model. The record is from RNAcentral.
CCUACGGGUGGCAGCAGUGAGGAAUAUUGGUCAAUGGGCGCGAGCCUGAACCAGCGAAGUAGCGUGAAGGAUUACUGCCCUACGGGUUGUAAACUUCUUUUAUAAAGGAAUACAGUGAGGCACGUGUGCCUUUUUGGAUGUACUUUAUUAAUAAUGAUCGGCUAACUCCGUUCCCGCAGCCGCGUUAAUUCUGAGGAUCCGAGCGUUAUUCGGAUUUUUUGGGUUUAAAGUGAGCAUAGAUGGGUUGGUAAGUCAGGUGUGAAAGGUUCGGGCUCAACCGGAAGAUUGCAAUUGAUCCUGGCAGACGAGAGUAAAGUUGAGGGAAGCGGAAUUCGCGGUGGAGCAGUGAAAUGCGUAGAUAUCGAGAAGAACA